This 185-nucleotide unclassified non-coding RNA is filed under the name fungal sp. RNAcentral's name for it is "partial internal transcribed spacer region". The record is from RNAcentral. Lineage: Eukaryota; Fungi.
CGCGGUAGAACAGGUUCUUGCCCUGCUUCUGCAGGCCCAGGGCCGAAUAGAUCUCGGAGCGCGGCUUGCGCGGCAUCAGGGAGCGCAGGAACUGCACGUAGGCGCUGGGCACCUCCAUGUCGACCAGGAAGUAGGCGCGGGCAAAGCUGAACAGGGCCAGCAGGUCGUCCUCGCCGAACAGCGCC